UAGGGAAUAUUGGACAAUGGGUGAGAGCCUGAUCCAGCCAUGCCGCGUGCAGGAAGAAGGCGUUAUGCGUUGUAAACUGCUUUUUGCCAGGGGAUAAAAAGACCGUGCGCGGUUAAUUGAAGGUACCUGGUGAAUAAGCCACGGCUAACUACGUGCCAGCAGCCGCGGUAAUACGUAGGUGGCAAGCGUUGUCCGGAUUUAUUGGGUUUAAAGGGUGCGUAGGUGGCCCUGUAAGUCAGUGGUGAAAUAUCUCAGCUUAAACUGAGAGGGUGCCAUUGAUACUGCAGGGCUUGAGUACAGAUGAGGUAGGCGGAAUUGACGGUGUAGCGGUGAAAUGCAUAGAUAUCGUCAAGAACACCGAUAGCGAAGGCAGCUUACCAAGCUGUAACUGACACUGAGGCACGAAAGUGUGGGGAUCAAACAGGAUUAGAUACCCGUGUAGUCCCUGAGCGGGCUGGCAAGGCGCAU
This 468-nucleotide ribosomal RNA is filed under the name uncultured bacterium. Its description in RNAcentral is "bacterial SSU rRNA". It matches the Rfam family "Bacterial small subunit ribosomal RNA", at positions 355 to 825 of the family's 1533-position model. The record is from RNAcentral.